This is a long non-coding RNA of Hypanus sabinus (Atlantic stingray), 1714 nucleotides long. RefSeq lists it as uncharacterized. Lineage: Eukaryota; Metazoa; Chordata; Chondrichthyes; Myliobatiformes; Dasyatidae. The record is from RefSeq and is a predicted model, not a curated record. The transcript has 4 exons.
AAGUCUUGUCGGCUGGAAUCUGGAUCAAGCAGAGAGUGACGGUGGCCUGUAGAGUGAAUUCGCCUUAACCUGCGCUCAGGGAGCAGGAGGAACGUCUCCGGUGCCUGUGCAGAGCGCGGAAUGGACUGGUGGAACUGCUACAAGAUCCAGCCCAUUCGGACUUUGCAGUACUUUAAGAGAUAUUGGCAGUCCCGAGUCUGAAAACUGGAAGACAGACAGACCAUUCCUUGUUCCUGAAGGACACAGAUACCAACGUUGACAUGGAAUUUCGGUGCAGGUAUUCAGCAUCGUCGGCAUCCUGUGCAAAAGGAGAGCACACCGUAACCAACAAACCCAAACACACUGCUCGACCAUCACAUCGAACUACAGAAAAUAUUGUGUACCUCUGUGGGAAGGGGCAUCGGAGGCCGUACGUGGCUUGGUGGAGGAGGCGCUGGUGAAGAACCUUGAAAGACGUUAUUCAUCAUAGAAGCAGAGAACAGAAAAUGUUAGAUAUACUGGUUCUAAUUCCCUGUACUACAUUAAGUGAGCAGGUACUGGGAAAACUAAAUGCAUCCCUCAUCCCUGCAACAAAUUCUGCUCUUUAGACACCACCUUUAUCCUUUGGCAACAGCUGAUGCUGAACCAGAGACCAUGUGUCAUAUGUGGCCCCAGGCUGAGCUUACCCAUGCCUUAACUAAGAUGCUAUUCCUAUUUCAACAAUCUUGCAGAAUCUGAUUUAUUAUCACUGACUUAGAUGAUGUCUAAUUUGUUGUUUUGCUGCACCGUAAGAGCAGAAUUAGGCCAUCUGGCCCAUUGAGUCUUCUCCUCCAUUCCAUCAUGGCUGAUUUAUUUUCACUCUCAGCCCUAUUCUCCUGCCUUCUCCCAGUAACCUUUGACAUCCUGACUAGUCAAGAACCUAAAGCCUCUGCUUUAAAUAUACCCAACAACUUGGCCUCCACAGCCGUCUGUGACAAUGAAUUCCACAGAUUCACAACCCUCCGGUUAAAGAAAUUCCUCCUCACCUCUGUUCAAAGGGGAUGCCCCUCUGUUCUGAGGCUGUGUCCUCUGGUCUUAGACUCCCCCAUCAGAGGAAACAUCCUCUCCAUGUCCACUCUAUCUAGGCCUUUCAAUGUUCAGUACCUUCCAAUGAGAUCCUCCCCUCAUCCUUCUAAACUCCAGCGAGGAUAGAGCCACCAAAUGCUCCUCACAUGUUAACCCUUUCAUUUGCAUGAACCUCCUCCAGAUGCUCUCCAAUGCCAGCACAUCUUUUGCUAGAAAUGGGGCCCAAAACUGCUCACAGUACCGCAAAUACAGCCUGACCAAUGCCUUAUGAGGCCUCAUAAAUAGAAAUAAAUAGUGCAAAAAAAUAGGAAUAACAAGGUAGUGUUCGUAGCUUUAUGAACAUUUCAACAACUUGAUGGUGGGUGGGAAGAAACUGUUGUUAGGUCCUGCCCUGUCUCAGAAUUCUAUCUACCAAUGUACCCAUCACUUAUAUCAGACAUUGGCCUGUAGUUUCCUGCUUGUUUUUCCUACUCUUCUUAGACAAUGUUACCACAUUAGCCACUGUCACCUGUGGCCAAAGAUAAAGGAAAAAUUUUUACAAGGGUAUCUGCAAUUUUUUCUCCAGCUUCCUGCAAGGUCUGAGAAUGCACCAGGUCAAGCCUGGAUCAGAAUCAGGUUUAUUAUCUCCGGCAUGUGACGUGAAAUUUGUUAACCUAGCAGCAGAAGUUCA